Molecule: ribosomal RNA, 701 nt
Filed under: uncultured bacterium
Lineage: Bacteria
Description: bacterial SSU rRNA
Rfam family: Bacterial small subunit ribosomal RNA
Source: RNAcentral
GAACGGAGAAUUGCUAGCUUGCUAAUAAUUCUCUAGUGGCGCACGGGUGAGUAACACGUGAGUACCUGCCCCCAAGAGUGGGAUAGCCCCGGGAAACUGGGAUUAAUACCGCAUAAAGCAAUAAAGCAGCAAUGCGCUUGGGGAUGGGCUCGCGUCCUAUUAGUUAGUUGGUGAGGUAACGGCUCACCAAGGCGAUGACGGGUAGCCGGUCUGAGAGGAUGUCCGGCCACACUGGAACUGAGACACGGUCCAGACACCUACGGGUGGCAGCAGUCGAGAAUCAUUCACAAUGGGGGAAACCCUGAUGGUGCGACGCCGCGUGGGGGAUAAGGUCUUCGGAUUGUAAACCCCUGUCAUGUGGGACAUUAAAAGAUAGUACCACAAGAGGAAGAGACGGCUAACUCUGUGCCAGCAGCCGCGGUAAUACAGAGGUCUCAAGCGUUGUUCGGAAUCACUGGGCGUAAAGCGUGCGUAGGCGGUUUCGUAAGUCGUGUGUGAAAGGCGGGGGCUCAACCCCCGGACUGCACAUGAUACUGCGAGACUAGAGUAAUGGAGGGGGAACCGGAAUUCUCGGUGUAGCAGUGAAAUGCGUAGAUAUCGAGAGGAACACUCGUGGCGAAGGCGGGUUCCUGGACAUUAACUGACGCUGAGGCACGAAGGCCAGGGGAGCGAAAGGGAUUAGAUACCCCUGUAGUCCUGGC